Long non-coding RNA from Perca fluviatilis (European perch), 661 nucleotides. RefSeq lists it as uncharacterized. The record is from RefSeq and is a predicted model, not a curated record. The transcript has 4 exons. NCBI's taxonomy places the organism in Eukaryota, Metazoa, Chordata, Actinopteri, Perciformes, Percidae.
CUUUAGUUGAGACCAAACAGUUUUUUAACCACAUCUAGUCAUCCUGUUUCAUCUUAUUUGAUAUCAUUUAAGAAACCAUCAGUAUUGUUUAUUUUCCCUGAUUCACACACAUGCAACGUUAGCCUACAACGUUUUGGUAGGAUCAUAAAGAAUUAUUUCUAUAGGUAGGAUAUUUGUGUUUGUGCCUGGAUCAACAACAACGGAACAAAGAUACUGAUGUGAGCCAGAGGAGCGGUUUUUCCAUUAAGCCGCACGAGACGGUGACGCGCGACGGCAGGAGGAGACAACGUUUACAUUGAUGUGGGAGGGCGAUCGUCCUCCGACACGGGGAGCCCAAAUGAAGGGGACAUGCUGCGCGCUGACGGCUGCAGCCGUUAAGGCAACGGCUCCGUGACCCGGGAGAGGAGAGGAGCGAAGCACCGUCACCGACAACCGGCCAGCCAGCGUUGACACCGCAACAGCUUCAGCAGCCAGCGCGAGCCCCCAGACUCUCUCUUUCCUUUGGUUUGAGGCUGUUGGGGAUGAAGAUUGAGGUUGAAUCAGAGUUGAGGUGGUGUGGAAGAACGAGAGGCUGACGUAACAAUGGGCAAAAGACAGGAGCAGAGGGGAGAGAGAGAGAGAAGUAUUUGAGCUCUCCUCUGCAGUAUUGAUGACCCAAUGA